GAUCCCAUUGUAUAGUGGUUAUUACGUUGCCUUUACACGGCAAAGGUCACGAGUUCGAUCCUCGUUGGGGUCA
Transfer RNA from Linderina pennispora, 73 nucleotides. It matches the Rfam family "tRNA". From Rfam's summary of the family: Transfer RNA (tRNA) molecules are approximately 80 nucleotides in length. Their secondary structure includes four short double-helical elements and three loops (D, anti-codon, and T loops). Further hydrogen bonds mediate the characteristic L-shaped molecular structure. tRNAs have two regions of fundamental functional importance: the anti-codon, which is responsible for specific mRNA codon recognition, and the 3' end, to which the tRNAs corresponding amino acid is attached (by aminoacyl-tRNA synthetases). tRNAs cope with the degeneracy of the genetic code in two manners: having more than one tRNA (with a specific anti-codon) for a particular amino acid; and 'wobble' base-pairing, i.e. permitting non-standard base-pairing at the 3rd anti-codon position. Lineage: Eukaryota; Fungi; Kickxellomycota; Kickxellomycetes; Kickxellales; Kickxellaceae. The record is from Rfam.